This 419-nucleotide ribosomal RNA is filed under the name uncultured bacterium. Its description in RNAcentral is "bacterial SSU rRNA". It matches the Rfam family "Bacterial small subunit ribosomal RNA", at positions 362 to 773 of the family's 1533-position model. The record is from RNAcentral.
UUUUGGACAAUGGGGGCAACCCUGAUCCAGCCAUGCCGCGUGCGGGAAGAAGGCCUUCGGGUUGUAAACCGCUUUUGGUCGGGAAGAAAGGGCCACUCUGAACAGGGGUGGUGGUUGACGGUACCGGCAGAAUAAGCACCGGCUAACUACGUGCCAGCAGCCGCGGUAAUACGUAGGGUGCGAGCGUUAAUCGGAAUUACUGGGCGUAAAGCGUGCGCAGGCGGUUCGUUAAGUUCGUUGUGAAAGCCCCGGGCUCAACCUGGGAACGGCAAUGGAAACUGGCGGGCUGGAGUGUGGCAGAGGGGGGUGGAAUUCCACGUGUAGCAGUGAAAUGCGUAGAGAUGUGGAGGAACACCGAUGGCGAAGGCAGCCCCCUGGGCCAACACUGACGCUCAGGCACGAAAGCGUGGGGAGCAAAC